RNAcentral lists this ribosomal RNA (208 nucleotides) under uncultured bacterium. Its description in RNAcentral is "partial 16S ribosomal RNA". It matches the Rfam family "Bacterial small subunit ribosomal RNA", at positions 568 to 774 of the family's 1533-position model. The record is from RNAcentral.
UGCGUAGGCGGCGCGGUAAGUCGGGUGUGAAAUCUCGGAGCUUAACUCCGAAACUGCAUUCGAUACUGCCGUGCUUGAGGACUGGAGAGGAGACUGGAAUUUACGGUGUAGCGGUGAAAUGCGUAGAUAUCGUAAGGAAGACCAGUGGCGAAGGCGGGUCUCUGGACAGUUCCUGACGCUGAGCACGAAGGGUCAGGGAAGGCAAACG